Molecule: ribosomal RNA, 245 nt
Filed under: uncultured bacterium
Lineage: Bacteria
Description: partial 16S ribosomal RNA
Rfam family: Bacterial small subunit ribosomal RNA
Source: RNAcentral
GACGGAGGGGGCAAGCGUUGUCCGGAGUUACUGGGCGUAAAGGGCGCGUAGGCGGCGCGACACGUUCCUGGUGAAAUCGCCCGGCUUAACCGGGCGCGGUCUGGGAAGACGGUCGGGCUAGAGGCGUUCAGAGGGUGGUGGAAUUCCCGGUGUAGUAGUGAAAUGCGUAGAACUCGGGAGGAACACCAGUGGUGCAGACGGCCACCUGGGAACGACCUGACGCUGAGGCGCGACAGCGUGGGGAG